ACUGCUCAGUAACACGUAGUUAACCUACUCUCAAGUGGAGGAUAAUCCUGGGAAACUGGGGAUAAUACUCCAUAGCUGUUUAUUGCUGGAAUGCGUUUACAGCAAAAGCUCCGGCGCUUGAGAAUGGGACUGCGGCCUAUCAUGGCUGUUGUGAGUGUAAUGUACUCACAAACCUGUAACGGGUAGGGGUCAUGAAAGUGAGAGCCCCGAGAUGCUUUCUGAGACAUGAAAGCAGGUCCUACGGGACGCAGCAAGCGCGCAACCUUUCCAAUGGCUUAACGGUCGAGAAGGGAAUCCUGAGUGAUUGUACAUUGUACAGUCUUUUGUUUUGUCUAAAUAGCAAGACGAAUAAGUGGUGGGUAAGACGGGUGGCAGCCGCCGCGGUAAUACCCGCGCCACAAGUGGUGAUCACUAUUAUUGGGUUUAAAGCGUCCGUAGCCGGUUUCGCAAGUUCUUGGUGAAAUCCAACAGUUGACUGUUGGGCGUGCUGAGAAUACUACGAGACUUGGGAUUGGGAGAGGGUAGGGGUAUUCCAUGUGUAGGGGUUAAAUCCUUUAAUCCAUGGAGGACCACCGGUGGCGAAGGCGCCUACCUAGAACAAGUCCGACGGUGAGGGACGAAAGCGUGGGGAGCGAACGGGAUUAGAUACCCCGGUAGUCCACGCCGUAAACGAUGCCCGUUUGAUGUUGCAAACUUUACGAGAGUUUGCAGUGUCGGAGUGUAAAUGUUAAACGGGCCACCUGGGGAGUACGGCCGCAAGGCUAAAACUUAAAGGAAUUGGCGGGGGAGCAC
This 792-nucleotide ribosomal RNA is filed under the name uncultured archaeon. RNAcentral describes it as "bacterial SSU rRNA". It matches the Rfam family "Archaeal small subunit ribosomal RNA", at positions 85 to 879 of the family's 1478-position model. The record is from RNAcentral.